GACGAACGCUGGCGGCGUGCCUAACACAUGCAAGUCGAACGAGUCCAGGCUUUCGGGCCUGAGGCGAGUGGCGGACGGGUGAGUAACACGUGAGCAAUCUGUCCCUGUGUGGGGGACAACCCGGGGAAACCUGGGCUAAUACCGCAUGGUCAGGCACUUCAUAGGAAGAGCCUGGGAAAGAGGCCCUCUUUACAAUGGUCUCAUGCAGGGAGGAGCUCGCGGGCAUCAGCUAGUUGGUAGUGGUAACGGCCUACCAAGGCGACGACGGCUACGGGGUCUGAGAGGACGACCCCGCACAUUGG
This 302-nucleotide ribosomal RNA is filed under the name uncultured bacterium. RNAcentral describes it as "bacterial SSU rRNA". It matches the Rfam family "Bacterial small subunit ribosomal RNA", at positions 28 to 316 of the family's 1533-position model. The record is from RNAcentral.